Molecule: ribosomal RNA, 253 nt
Filed under: uncultured bacterium
Lineage: Bacteria
Description: partial 16S ribosomal RNA
Rfam family: Bacterial small subunit ribosomal RNA
Source: RNAcentral
UACGAAGGGGGCUAGCGUUGCUCGGAAUUACUGGGCGUAAAGCGCACGUAGGCGGCUUUCUAAGUCGGGGGUGAAAUCCUGGAGCUCAACUCCAGAACUGCCUUCGAUACUGGAAAGCUCGAGUCCGGGAGAGGUGAGUGGAACUGCGAGUGUAGAGGUGAAAUUCGUAGAUAUUAGGAAGAACACCAGUGGCGAAGGCGGCUCACUGGAUCGGUACUGACGCUGAGGUGCGAAAGCGUGGGGAGCAAACAGG